AAAGCCGGUCAGACAACCGCCGCCAUGAAAGCACCCUCGGGGGCAUGAAUGGGGGAGGAAAGUCCGGGCUCCAUAGAGCAGGAUGCUGGCUAACGGCCAGACGCAGCAACUGCCAUGUUGCAAGACAUGGCGGCCAAGGCGAGGAAUAGGGCCACAGAGACGAGCGUAUUGAGUUACGGUGAAACGCGGUAACCUCCAUCCGGAGCAACACCAAAUAGGCAGGCGAUGAAGCGGCUCGCUGAGUCUGCGGGUAGGUGGCUGGAGCCGGUCAGCAAUGACCGGCCUAGAGGAAUGGUUGUCCACGACAGAACCCGGCUUAUCGACCGACUUUUCCA
This 335-nucleotide RNase P RNA is filed under the name Hydrogenophilales bacterium 12-61-10. RNAcentral's name for it is "RNase P RNA component class A". It matches the Rfam family "Bacterial RNase P class A". From Rfam's summary of the family: Ribonuclease P (RNase P) is a ubiquitous endoribonuclease, found in archaea, bacteria and eukarya as well as chloroplasts and mitochondria. Its best characterised activity is the generation of mature 5'-ends of tRNAs by cleaving the 5'-leader elements of precursor-tRNAs. Cellular RNase Ps are ribonucleoproteins. The record is from RNAcentral. Lineage: Bacteria; Pseudomonadati; Pseudomonadota; Hydrogenophilia; Hydrogenophilales. RNAcentral also lists the same sequence under 1 other name.